RNAcentral lists this ribosomal RNA (546 nucleotides) under Therea petiveriana. RNAcentral's name for it is "eukaryotic LSU rRNA". Lineage: Eukaryota; Metazoa; Arthropoda; Insecta; Blattodea; Corydiidae. The record is from RNAcentral.
UCACAGUACGUGAACUGUUCAGGGGUAAACGGGAGAGACCCGAAAGUUCGAAGGGGAGACUCAUUCACAUCCGUUACAUCGGCCCACGGAGCGUUCUGGAUGUCGCCGGCCGCCGGUCACGCCGCAAGGCGUGCGCCGUGUUCGUGUCGGAGGCACCGAUCGCCCGGCGGGGUUAAUUUCCGCUGGCGGAUUGACGCACUUCUCCUCUGUAUGACGUCGCGACCCGUUGGAGUAGCCGGUCUAAGGCCCGGGAAGGAGCCCGAGGGGAUCGCCGCGGAAGCGCGGACUAACGGUUCCCCGGACCCCGGCAGCCCGGCCGGCGUCCGACGGUAGGUUUCGCGGAGAAGGCCCGCUCACACGAGCGAGCGUCCGGCCCGUGGGGCAAGCUCUUCGGUGGUGCCGAGGUGCCGUGGCAUCCGCCACGUCCCCGGCCCCCGCGAGGCUGUUGGCCCCCGGAGUCCUCGGACGGUAGCCGACUCCCGUCCGCGGCGCUUAUGCUUUGGGUGCUCUCCCGACCCGUCUUGAAACACGACAAGAGGGAGAACA